UAGAUAAGCAAAGCUCGUACAAUAAGCUAAACAGUGAAUCUAUAGUGAAAGCAAAUCCGAAAAAAAUCCCAGAAAUAGUAAAAGGAUAUAUUGAAAGAAGGAAGGUAGAAGAAGUCGUGUCCGAACCUAUAUUCUUGACCAAGAUCAAUAGCCAAGUCGAUUAAGCCAUGUCUGUCUAUUCGUCUGGCCUUACGAAAGCGAAAAAAAAAUAAAAUCGUAGAUGUUUGAAAACUAGAAAACUAGGAUUAAGCAUGAAUAAUCUUGAAAUGGCGGCGCAUUUUGAGGUGGUAUUAUUAUACGGCCACACCCACUCUUACGACCAAGACCCGCUCAACAACAACGUUCUGUAAGAACGCGGAGAUCACGGUAACUAAAAAUGUUGAAAAAUUCCCAGAAAUGUAAAUAUGAAUAUAUAUACACUUAUCUAUUUA
Long non-coding RNA from Drosophila eugracilis, 431 nucleotides. RefSeq lists it as uncharacterized. NCBI's taxonomy places the organism in Eukaryota, Metazoa, Arthropoda, Insecta, Diptera, Drosophilidae. The transcript is spliced from 2 exons. The record is from RefSeq and is a predicted model, not a curated record.